Neopelma chrysocephalum (saffron-crested tyrant-manakin) is the source of this 677-nucleotide long non-coding RNA. RefSeq lists it as uncharacterized. Lineage: Eukaryota; Metazoa; Chordata; Aves; Passeriformes; Pipridae. The transcript is spliced from 3 exons. The record is from RefSeq and is a predicted model, not a curated record.
CUUCCACAUUUCACCUUGCACACAGAUAUACCCACAGAAACCCGAGAGGCACCUCCCUUGCUUUUUAGGUCCUAAUUAGGCCACUGCCACAGAUACUGGCCAUUAGAAAGCAGGGUGUGUUUCAGAAACCAAGUGUUUCGCAACAACUAAAUAAAAGAACCACUUUCAAGCAAAUAAAGGAGCGUCACUUGGGGAGAAAGAAGAAAAACCACACAGGGUCAAGCUCUGAGCAAUAUUACACAGGACCUGGAUCUGCAAAGAACAGCAGCAGCUCCUCAAAAUCCAACUGAGCCCUUGGACAAGACAGCAAAAGCCAGACCUGAAUUCAGAUUCGCAAAUGGACUGAUCUUCGAUUCUCACUGAAGAGUUUUCUUGUGGAAUUCAGAAGAGUUAUUAGUAGAAUCAGCACUCUGUCCUCAUUGGGAUAAUUUCCUUUGGACUGCUAAAUAACAGUAUCAGCUUCAGUUCUUCCAUACACUUGGCAUAAGGUAACUACUUCAUUUUAGAAUAAACAGCUGAAAAUGAGGCUAAUUAGUAAAACCACGCUAAGAAGCCCAACCUGUUGAAAAAUUAGAUCAAAGAUCUUCAGUACUCCAAAUCCUAGAUGAGAUCCUGAUUUAGAUUUCACAAGUUUCCAGCACGCAACACUUCCUGUUAACUCCAUGAGAUCCUACAGA